UGGGGAAUCUUAGACAAUGGGCGCAAGCCUGAUCUAGCCAUGCCGCGUGAGCGAUGAAGGCCUUAGGGUUGUAAAGCUCUUUCAGUGGGGAAGAUAAUGACUGUAUCCACAGAAGAAGCCCCGGCUAACUCCGUGCCAGCAGCCGCGGUAAUACGGAGGGGGCUAGCGUUGUUCGGAAUUACUGGGCGUAAAGCGCACGUAGGCGGACUGGAAAGUCAGGGGUGAAAUCCCGGGGCUCAACCCCGGAAAUGCCUCUGAAACUCCCGGUCUUGAGGUCGGGAGAGGUGAGUGGAAUUCCGAGUGUAGAGGUGAAAUUCGUAGGUAUGCAGAGGAACGGCAGUGGCGAAGGCGGGUCACUGGCUCGAUACUGACGCUGAGGUGCGAAAGCGUGAGGAGCGAACA
This 402-nucleotide ribosomal RNA is filed under the name uncultured bacterium. Its description in RNAcentral is "bacterial SSU rRNA". It matches the Rfam family "Bacterial small subunit ribosomal RNA", at positions 355 to 774 of the family's 1533-position model. The record is from RNAcentral.